RNAcentral lists this ribosomal RNA (305 nucleotides) under uncultured bacterium. Its description in RNAcentral is "bacterial SSU rRNA". It matches the Rfam family "Bacterial small subunit ribosomal RNA", at positions 333 to 635 of the family's 1533-position model. The record is from RNAcentral.
CUGUUCCUACGGGGGGCAGCAGUGAGGAAUAUUGGUCAAUGGCCGAGAGGCUGAACCAGCCACGUCGCGUGAGGGAAGACGGCCCUACGGGUUGUAAACCUCUUUUGUCGGGGAGCAAAAAGGCCUCGUGAGGCCACAAGUGAGAGUACCCGAAGAAAAAGCAUCGGCUAACUCCGUGCCAGCAGCCGCGGUAAUACGGAGGAUGCGAGCGUUAUCCGGAUUUAUUGGGUUUAAAGGGUGCGUAGGCGGACUGGAAAGUCAGCGGUAAAAUCGAGAGGCUCAACCUCUUUCCGCCGUUGAAACUG